RNAcentral lists this ribosomal RNA (21 nucleotides) under Cliffortia polygonifolia var. polygonifolia. Lineage: Eukaryota; Viridiplantae; Streptophyta; Magnoliopsida; Rosales; Rosaceae. The record is from RNAcentral.
GGUUGCGAUCAUACCAGCAAU